Molecule: ribosomal RNA, 346 nt
Filed under: uncultured Desulfovibrio sp.
Lineage: Bacteria; Pseudomonadati; Thermodesulfobacteriota; Desulfovibrionia; Desulfovibrionales; Desulfovibrionaceae
Description: bacterial SSU rRNA
Rfam family: Bacterial small subunit ribosomal RNA
Source: RNAcentral
CAGGUGCUGCAUGGCUGUCGUCAGCUCGUGUCGUGAGAUGCUGGGUUAAGUCCCGCAACGAGCGCAACCCUCGCCUUUAGUUGCCAGCAUUCAGUUGGGCACUCUAGAGGGACUGCCGGUGUCAAACCGGAGGAAGGCGGGGAUGACGUCAAGUCCUCAUGGCCUUUAUGUCUAGGGCUACACACGUACUACAAUGGCCGGUACAAAGGGCAGCCACUCAGCGAUGAGGCGCGAAUCCCAUAAAGCCGGUCUCAGUCCGGAUCGCAGUCUGCAACUCGACUGCGUGAAGUUGGAAUCGCUAGUAAUCGUAGAUCAGCAUGCUACGGUGAAUACGUUCCCGGGCCUU